GAUGAACGCUGGCGGCGUGCCUAAUACAUGCAAGUCGAGCGAACAGACGAGGAGCUUGCUCCUCUGACGUUAGCGGCGGACGGGUGAGUAACACGUGGAUAACCUACCUAUAAGACUGGGAUAACUUCGGGAAACCGGAGCUAAUACCGGAUAAUAUAUUGAACCGCAUGGUUCAAUAGUGAAAGACGGUUUUGCUGUCACUUAUAGAUGGAUCCGCGCCGCAUUAGCUAGUUGGCAAGGUAACGGCUUACCAAGGCAACGAUGCGUAGCCGACCUGAGAGGGUGAUCGGCCACACUGGAACUGAGACACGGUCCAGACUCCUACGGGAGGCAGCAGUAGGGAAUCUUCCGCAAUGGGCGAAAGCUUGACGGAGCAACGCCGCGUGAGUGAUGAAGGUCUUCGGAUCGUAAAACUCUGUUAUUAGGGAAGAACAAAUGUGUAAGUAACUAUGCACGUCUUGACGGUACCUAAUCAGAAAGCCACGGCUAACUACGUG
This 497-nucleotide ribosomal RNA is filed under the name uncultured bacterium. RNAcentral describes it as "partial 16S ribosomal RNA". It matches the Rfam family "Bacterial small subunit ribosomal RNA", at positions 28 to 507 of the family's 1533-position model. The record is from RNAcentral.